This 270-nucleotide ribosomal RNA is filed under the name uncultured archaeon. Its description in RNAcentral is "partial 16S ribosomal RNA". It matches the Rfam family "Archaeal small subunit ribosomal RNA", at positions 477 to 747 of the family's 1478-position model. The record is from RNAcentral.
CAGCACCUCAAGUGGUCAGGAUGAUUAUUGGGCCUAAAGCAUCCGUAGCCGGCGCUGUAAGUUUUCGGUUAAAUCUGUACGCUCAACGUACAGGCUGCCGGGAAUACUGCAGCGCUAGGGAGUGGGAGAGGUAGACGGUACUCGGUAGGAAGGGGUAAAAUCCUUCGAUCUAUUGAUGACCACCUGUGGCGAAGGCGGUCUACCAGAACACGUCCGACGGUGAGGGAUGAAAGCUGGGGGAGCAAACCGGAUUAGAUACCCGUGUAGUCC